AUGGGGAAUGGGUCACAUGCUUCUGUUCGUGGCAUUGGCACGGUGGAUCUGAAGUUUACUUCGGGAAAGAUCGUGCAACUAAGGAACGUGCAACAUGUCCCUACUAUGAACAAGAAUCUAGUUAGCGGCUCCCUUCUAUGUCGAGAUGGAUUUAAGGUAGUUUUAGAGUCCAAUAAAGUAAUCGUGUCAAGAUUUGGACAAUUUAUAGGAAAAGGCUAUGAGUGCGGAGGCUUGUUCCGUUUUUCUCUUUCAGAUUUUUGCAAUAAGUCAAUAAACCAAAUUUGUGCUAGUGUUAAUGAUGAUGCAAGUAUUUGGCACUCUCGUUUAUGUCAUAUUAAUUUUGGUUUAAUGUCUCGGCUAUCCAGCAUGAGUUUAAUUCCGAACUUCACAGGUGCCAAAGGUUCUAAGUGCCAUAGUUGUGUGCAAUCUAAGCAACCUCGAAAGCCUCAUAAGGCUGCCGAGGAGAGAAACUUGGCACCUCUAGAACUCAUACAUUAUGAUCUUUGUGAGAUGAAUGGUGUGUUGACAAAAGGUGGAAAGAGAUAUUUCAUGACUUUGAUUGAUGAUGCGACUAGAUUUUGCUAUGUUUAUUUGUUGCAAACUAAAGAUGAAGCAUUAGACUACUUUAAAAUCUAUAAAGCUGAAGUUGAAAAUCAACUAGAGAGAAAGAUCAAGCGUCUUAGGUCCGAUCGUGGUGGAGAGUAUUUUCCAAAAGUUUUUGAUGAAUUUUGUGAGGAACAUGGUAUUAUUCAUGAGAGGACGCCUCCCUAUUCACCUCAAUCAAAUGGAGUGGCCGAGAGGAAAAACCGCACAUUGACUGACUUGGUGAAUGCCAUGUUAGACACUGCUGGUUUAUCUAAGGCAUGGUGGGGGGAGGCUCUAUUGACUUCAUGUCAUGUCCUGAAUAGAGUUCCCAACAAUAAUAAAGAGAAAACCCCUUAUGAGGAGUGGGUUGGGAGAAAACCAUCACUUUCUUAUUUGCGCACUUGGGGAUGUUUGGCAAAGGUCAAUAUUCCUAUUCCUAAGAAACGCAAACUUGGACCAAAGACAGUGGAUUGUGUCUUUCUAGGGUAUGCUCAACGGAGCAUUGCUUAUAGGUUUUUAGUGGUAAAAUCUGAAGUACCUGAUAUGCAUGUUGAUACUAUAAUGGAAUCUCAUGAUGCAGCAUUUUUUGAGAACAUAUUUCCUAUGAAAGAUAUGCAUAGCAUUGCUAGAUUUUCUUCUGAGAUAAUUCCUGAAUCUAGUACAACUGAUGAAUUGUUCGAACAAUCACAUGAAGAAGUCCUUGAGAAGGAUAACAAUGAAGUUCCUAGAAGGAACAAGAGACAAAGGAUUGCAAAAUCCUUUGGUGAUGAUUUCAUUGUAUACCUUGUGGACGACACACCCAAGACGAUUGCAGAAGCAUAUGCAUCUCCGGAUGUAGAUGAUUGGAAAGAAGUUGUUCAUAAUGAGAUGGACUCAAUUCUUUCUAAUGGAACUUGGGAACUAACUGAUAGACCAUAUGGUUGUAAACCUGUGGGCUGUAAGUGGGUGUUCAAAAAGAAGCUGAAGCCUGAUGGUACUAUUGAUAAGUACAAGGCGCGGCUAGUGGCCAAGGGCUACACUCAGAAAGAAGGCGAAGAUUACUUUGACACCUAUUCACCCGUUGCUAGAAUGACCACCAUUCGAGUGUUACUUUCCUUGGCUGCCUCUUAUGGUCUUAUCAUUCAUCAAAUGGAUGUAAAGACGGCUUUUCUCAAUGGAGAGUUGGAAGAGGAGAUCUAUAUGGAUCAGCCUGACGGGUUUGUGGUAAAGGGUGAAGAGAGAAAGGAGGCUGAUAGGUGUGUUUACUAUCGCCAUGGUGGGGGCAAUAGUGUCAUAUUAUGUUUGUAUGUGGACGACAUACUGAUCUUUGGUACAAACAUUAAUGCAAUUAAUGAGUCUCACUAUGUUGAGAAGGUCUUGAACCGAUUCGGUUUUAUGGAUAGCAAGCCUUCUCCAACACCUUAUGAUCCCAGCGUGACACUCAGAAAGAACAAGAAAGAAACGAGAGAUCAAUUAAGAUACUCUCAAAUUGUCGGUUCACUCAUGUACUUAGCUAGCGCUACAAGACCAGAUAUCUCUUUUGCUGUGAGCAAACUGAGUAGGUUCAUGUCCAACCCGGGUGAUGAUCAUUGGCAUGCACUAGAAAGGGUCUUGUGCUAUCUGAGAGGUACUAUGAGUUACGGAAUUACUUAUUCAGGGCAUCCUGCUGUGCUAGAAGGAUAUAGUGAUUCAAAUUGGAUCUCCGAUGUUGAUGUACUUUACGCAACAAGUGGGUAUGUAUUUACUCAUGGUGGUGGCGCAGUGUCAUGGAGGUCUUGCAAGCAAACCAUAUUGACGAGGUCAACUAUGGAAGCAGAAUUAACUGCUUUGGACACAGCUACUGUUGAGGCAGAAUGGCUGCGUGAGCUCUUGAUGGACUUGCCGGUUGUUGAAAAAACCUGUACCGGCUAUUCUUAUGAAUUGUGA
This 2490-nucleotide ribosomal RNA is filed under the name Triticum aestivum (bread wheat). RNAcentral describes it as "partial small subunit ribosomal RNA". The record is from RNAcentral. Lineage: Eukaryota; Viridiplantae; Streptophyta; Magnoliopsida; Poales; Poaceae.